AUACGUAGGUGGCAAGCGUUGUCCGGAUUUACUGGGUGUAAAGGGUGCGCAGGCGGGACUGCAAGUUGGAUGUGAAAUACCGGGGCUCAACCCCGGGGCUGCAUCCAAAACUGUGGUUCUUGAGUGGAGUAGAGGUAAGCGGAAUUCCGAGUGUAGCGGUGAAAUGCGUAGAUAUUCGGAGGAACACCAGUGGCGAAGGCGGCUUACUGGGCUCUAACUGACGCUGAGGCACGAAAGCAUGGGUAGC
RNAcentral lists this ribosomal RNA (247 nucleotides) under uncultured bacterium. Its description in RNAcentral is "partial 16S ribosomal RNA". It matches the Rfam family "Bacterial small subunit ribosomal RNA", at positions 523 to 769 of the family's 1533-position model. The record is from RNAcentral.